This 414-nucleotide ribosomal RNA is filed under the name Sphingobacterium mizutaii. Its description in RNAcentral is "bacterial SSU rRNA". It matches the Rfam family "Bacterial small subunit ribosomal RNA", at positions 49 to 455 of the family's 1533-position model. Lineage: Bacteria; Pseudomonadati; Bacteroidota; Sphingobacteriia; Sphingobacteriales; Sphingobacteriaceae. The record is from RNAcentral.
UAACACAUGCAAGUCGGACGGGAUCCAUCGGUAGCUUGCUACCGAUGGUGAGAGUGGCGCACGGGUGCGUAACGCGUGAGCAACCUGCCCAUAUCAGGGGGAUAGCCCGGAGAAAUCCGGAUUAACACCGCAUGACAAUGCUUUCCGGCAUCGGGAGGUAGUCAAAUAUUCAUAGGAUAUGGAUGGGCUCGCGUGACAUUAGCUAGUUGGUGGGGUAACGGCCCACCAAGGCGACGAUGUCUAGGGGAUAUGAGAGGAGAAUCCCCCACACUGGUAAUGAGACACGGACCAGACUCCUACGGGAGGCAGCAGUAAGGAAUAUUGGUCAAUGGGGGCAACCCUGAACCAGCCAUGCCGCGUGCAGGACGACUGCCCUAUGGGUUGUAAACUGCUUUUGUUAGGGAAUAAACCCCG